UAACUGGCCUAAAACAUCCGCAUUCAGUCUAUGGCAAAUGUUGGAUGUGGUUCUUAAUGAUCGAUAGACAAGUCUGGGAUCUCUUUGUUUGGUGGCUUGCAUUAAGGCAGCAAUAUUUGCUUCCACAUCUGAUCCUUGUUAGAAAUAAAUAAAUUUUGACGCAUUAACUCACCUUGCAAAACUGUUCUUGGAACUUCAGUUACAGUGUUCUGUUUUGUUUCACCAGAAUCAACAUUUUCUUCUUGGUUUACAGAAUCAACCUGCAUAUCUUUUUAACGUUAAUAAAUACAAAAACUUUCCCAUCAAUAACAAACCUCUCUGAUCAUCAAUCAUAUUGAUACUGGUACUUGGUAGUGGUUACGUUCAGUGGAGGGCAUAUGCCUAAGCUUACGACUCACUGUGCUGUAUACUUCCUCCCUAUGAUUAUAAACACGAAUA
Molecule: non-coding RNA, 438 nt
Organism: Schizosaccharomyces pombe (fission yeast)
Lineage: Eukaryota; Fungi; Ascomycota; Schizosaccharomycetes; Schizosaccharomycetales; Schizosaccharomycetaceae
Source: the annotation of a GenBank genome assembly